RNAcentral lists this ribosomal RNA (495 nucleotides) under uncultured bacterium. RNAcentral's name for it is "partial 16S ribosomal RNA". It matches the Rfam family "Bacterial small subunit ribosomal RNA", at positions 28 to 507 of the family's 1533-position model. The record is from RNAcentral.
GACGAACGCUGGCGGCGUGCCUAAUACAUGCAAGUCGAACGCUGAAGGAGGAGCUUGCUUCUCUGGAUGAGUUGCGAACGGGUGAGUAACGCGUAGGUAACCUGCCUGGUAGUGGGGGAUAACUAUUGGAAACGAUAUCUAAUACCGCAUAAUAGCAGUUGUUGCAUGAUAACUGUUUGAAAAGUGCAAUUGCACCGCUACCAGAUGGACCUGCGUUGUAUUAGCUAGUUGGUGGGGUAACGGCUCACCAAGGCGAAGAUACAUAGCCGACCUGAGAGGGUGAUCGGCCACACUGGGAAUGAGACACGGCCCAGACUCCUAAGGGAGGCAGCAGUAGGGAAUCUUCGGAAAUGGACGGAAGUCUGACCGAGAAACGACGCGUGAGUGAAGAAGGUUUUCGGAUCGUAAAGGUCUGUUGUAAGAGAAGAACGAGUGUGAGAGUGGAAAGUUCACAAUGUGACGGUAUCUUACCAGAAAGGGACGGCUAACUACGUG